This 966-nucleotide long non-coding RNA is filed under the name Homo sapiens (human). RNAcentral describes it as "HSALNT0128362". Lineage: Eukaryota; Metazoa; Chordata; Mammalia; Primates; Hominidae. The record is from RNAcentral.
GUUUUCUGGUGUGUGUGUUUGUUAAGUGGAAAGAAGGAAUUCCAUAACAAAUUUACUUAACUCUGUUAAGCAGAAACAUCUGCUAGCAUACCAGGGUUGUGAAUGCCUUCCAGGAAGCUCUGAAGUUCUAAAGCUUGUUGGAGAUAAGGGAGAAAUUCCAGACCAGAAAUUUCAGUGUACUACGUCUAUUUUUUCAAAGCUCAAAAGCAACAAUUUUUAAACACUGGAUCUCUUCAAAAGUACUACUAAAUUCCAGAAUACAAGAUUUUAAACACUAUAACAAAAAGUAAAGUAAUGACUGCAGUUGGGCUUAUAAGAAUUCACUUUUUCCUGAGCUUCUGAUUGAUGCCAAUUUUGGUCCAUCAGUUUUCUUGGAGAGUGUGUACAUAACAUAUUAAAAGCUUAAAAAUUGAUCCAAUGAGGAAUGUAACUCAGUAAAAGCAGGGAAUUAGUCUGUGAUCUCAGUGCCAAGAGAAGCGUCAUCUCCAGGAAGUUCCCUAGCUUCCUGUUUGGUAUCUCUAAUGACAGUAGGGUGAAAAUGAUCGGAACACUUUCUAUGCAGAACAACGCCAAUCUAGCACAGGUGUCUCCAGCCUUUUCCUGAAAGCUUGAGAUGAAGUGAAGAUCUGCAUGCAGGUGUACUAAGGUGCCAGACAGUCAGUCAAAGGAGCAUUACUGGAAUGGACUUAAAGACGUCAAGACACAAUGAUAAAGGCAAGAGGAGAGUAACUUAUUUAUCUAAACCUCACAUAAAUUUAUCCUUUAGAUAAAUAAGAGUAACUUCUUUAUCUAAGACCAGUUCAGUUCUCUAUGGAGCCUGUGCUAUCUCAUAAAUAAGAGUAACUGGCCGGGCACCGUGGCUCACGCCUGUAAUCCCAGUACUUUGGGAGGCCAAGGCGGGUGGGUCACGAGGUCAGGAGAUCGAGACCAUCCUGGCUAACACGGUGAAACCCCGUCUCUACUAAA